GAUGAACGCUGGCGGCGUGCCUAAUACAUGCAAGUCGAGCGAACAGACGAGGAGCUUGCUCCUCUGACGUUAGCGGAGGACGGGUGAGUAACACGUGGAUAACCUACCUAUAAGCCUGGGAUAACUUCGGGAAACCGGCGCUAAUACCGGAUAAUAUAUUGAACCGCAUGGUUCAAUAGUGAAAGACGGUUUUGCUGUAACUUAUAGAUGGAUCCGCGCCGCAUUAGCUAGUUGGUAAGGUAACGGCUUACCAAGGCAACGAUGCGUAGCCGACCUGAGAGGGUGAUCGGCCACACUGGAACUGAGACACGGUCCAGACUCCGACGGGAGGCAGCAGUAGGGAAUCUUCCGCGAUGGGCGAAAGCUUGACGGAGCAACGCCGCGUGAGUGAUGAAGGUCUUCGGAUCGUAAAACUCUGUUAUUAGGGAAGAACAAAUGUGUAAGUAACUAUGCACGUCUUGACGGUACCUAAUCAGAAAGCCACGGCUAACUACGUG
This 497-nucleotide ribosomal RNA is filed under the name uncultured bacterium. Its description in RNAcentral is "partial 16S ribosomal RNA". It matches the Rfam family "Bacterial small subunit ribosomal RNA", at positions 28 to 507 of the family's 1533-position model. The record is from RNAcentral.